UUCACCUCCCAGGUCCCAUCUUGUCGUCUGCUGCUGAGUUAGACUGCGGACGAGGUGACCCGGGAGUUUGGACGUAUGGAGGCCUUCUCCCCCUCACUACCCACCCCCGCCCCCGUCAGUGUCACCCCUCUUCUGCUCUUUGUGCCCACGUGUGGGGAGGAGGAAUGGAAAGCAGGGAGGUGCCUGAAUCACCAUUGCUUUCCCCUUUAAAAGAGUGAUUUCUGCUUAAGAGAUUGACGAAGUCUGGCUCUGGCCUGGCACGUUUUGGCAGCAGCUAGAGAAAAAUACGGCAGACAGCAGGGCAUGCUUCGCCUGUUCAUUCCACACCAUUUGAAGCCCCGUUUUGGCUUCCCUGGUGGCUCAGCUGGACUGAUGGACUCUGCAACUGCAGAACCAGCCGAUCCAGAGGACCCACUGUAGUAUUCUCCCCACGCAACAGAGGAGGGAGCAAGGUGCUGAUGCUGCCUGGGGUUUAAUGGAGUUCGUUUUCAAUCCAGGUGGCAGACCUUGCCCAAUCAAUGAGAAUUAACCCUGCACUUGGAGCCUGGCCUAUACUCGACAUUUUUCCACUCAGAACCAGGACAAAGGGCUGUUUCUCUACUUAAAUGACUUGGGAAUUGAAGCAGGAAGAGCUGUUAUUGGAAAAUACCUCUGUAACAGCUGCCGAGGUACUUGGUGAUCCCUUGAGUUUCCUCAAGGGCUCUCUGAGACGUCUUAGUUUUUCCUUCUGGGAAAGAGGUCCACCCUGCUCUAGAUGUAAAAAAAUGGGUUACUUAACUAAGAAAAAUGCAAAGAAUGUAACUUCAGACCAGAAGUUUCUACAUAUGAAGCAGCCCUGAACCACUUUAAGGCCCAGGGCUUGGCUUCUUCCUCCCAGGGACCCUUGGCGGUCAGCCUCUAUUUCCUACCACCCACGAGUUCUUUGUUCUCUUGCUGGCAUUGAAUCUUCCUCAAAUUAUUAAUAAAAAUGACCGCUUUAUUUUAACUCUAAAGUCCACUCUGGGACCUUCUUACUAAAUUCCAGCUUUCCAUCUAAUGGACACAAGGAUGUUCUCUAAUACACACCCAAGUGAU
Molecule: long non-coding RNA, 1074 nt
Organism: Odocoileus virginianus texanus
Lineage: Eukaryota; Metazoa; Chordata; Mammalia; Artiodactyla; Cervidae
Source: RefSeq, a predicted model, not a curated record